GGCUCCGUGGUCUAGUGGUAAGAUACCUGCUUUGGGAAUCCAUAUUUGCAGGUGACCCCGGGUUCGAACCCCGGCGGAGCCC
This is a non-coding RNA of Heliocybe sulcata, 82 nucleotides long. Lineage: Eukaryota; Fungi; Basidiomycota; Agaricomycetes; Gloeophyllales; Gloeophyllaceae. The record is from the annotation of a GenBank genome assembly.